ACCUGGCUGGCUCACUCAGUAGAGCAUGAGACUCUUGAUCUCAAGGUUGUGAGUUCAAGCCCCACAUUGGGCA
RNAcentral lists this transfer RNA (73 nucleotides) under Ailuropoda melanoleuca (giant panda). It matches the Rfam family "tRNA". Rfam says of the family: Transfer RNA (tRNA) molecules are approximately 80 nucleotides in length. Their secondary structure includes four short double-helical elements and three loops (D, anti-codon, and T loops). Lineage: Eukaryota; Metazoa; Chordata; Mammalia; Carnivora; Ursidae. The record is from Rfam by way of RNAcentral.